Molecule: ribosomal RNA, 423 nt
Filed under: uncultured bacterium
Lineage: Bacteria
Description: bacterial SSU rRNA
Rfam family: Bacterial small subunit ribosomal RNA
Source: RNAcentral
CAAGACCUGCGCUUUUGGAGCGGCCGAUGCCUGAUUAGCUAGUUGGUGAGGUAAUGGCUCACCAAAGCUUCGAUCAGUAGCUGGUCUGAGAGGACGGCCAGCCACACUGGGACUGAGACACGGCCCAGACUCCUACGGGAGGCAGCAGUGGGGAAUUUUGGACAAUGGGCGCAAGCCUGAUCCAGCCAUGCCGCGUGAGUGAAGAAGGCCUUCGGGUUGUAAAGCUCUUUCAGUCGGGAAGAAAAGGUUGCGACUAAUAAUCGCAAUUCAUGACGGUACCGAAAGAAGAAGCACCGGCUAACUACGUGCCAGCAGCCGCGGUAAUACGUAGGGUGCGAGCGUUAAUCGGAAUUACUGGGCGUAAAGGGUGCGCAGGCGGUUUUGUAAGUCAGAUGUGAAAUCCCCGGGCUUAGCCUGGGAACU